CCUACGGGCGGCAGCAGUGGGGAAUAUUGCACAAUGGGGGAAACUCUGAUGCAGCGACGCCGCGUGAGUGAAGAAGUAUUUCGGUAUGUAAAGCUCUAUCAGCAGGGAAGAAAAUGACGGUACCUGACUAAGUAGCCACGGAGAACUACGUGCCAGCAGCCGCGGUAAUACGGAGGGGGCAAGCGUUAUCCGGAUUUACUGGGUGUAAAGGGAGCGUAGACGGUGAGUCAAGUCAGAUGUGAAAGCCCGGGGCUCAACCCCGGGACUGCAUUUGAAACUGUGUGACUGGAGUGCAGGAGAGGUGAGCGGAAUUCCUGGUGUAGCGGUGAAAUGCGUAGAUAUCACGAGGAACUCCAGUGGCGAAGGCAGCUUACUGGACUGUAACUGACGUUGAGGCUCGAAAGCGUGGGGAGCAAACAGGAUUAGAUACCCCUGUAGUC
This 440-nucleotide ribosomal RNA is filed under the name uncultured bacterium. RNAcentral's name for it is "partial 16S ribosomal RNA". It matches the Rfam family "Bacterial small subunit ribosomal RNA", at positions 338 to 795 of the family's 1533-position model. The record is from RNAcentral.